Molecule: ribosomal RNA, 108 nt
Filed under: Cladophialophora arxii
Lineage: Eukaryota; Fungi; Ascomycota; Eurotiomycetes; Chaetothyriales; Herpotrichiellaceae
Description: partial 18S ribosomal RNA
Source: RNAcentral
UAACAAGGUUUCCGUAGGGUGAGUUCUUCCCCCGUUUCCCCUUGUUUUUUCUUCUACGAAUUCUUGCUAACUAUUAUUUUCUACAGUGAACCUGCGGAAGGAUCAUUA